Actinia tenebrosa (Australian red waratah sea anemone) is the source of this 1293-nucleotide long non-coding RNA. The record is from RefSeq and is a predicted model, not a curated record. Lineage: Eukaryota; Metazoa; Cnidaria; Anthozoa; Actiniaria; Actiniidae.
UGAAACAAAAAAUUAUURAAGAAAUCAUGGAAAAAAAGAAUUUGCCACAGUGUGAAGAUAGAGGUGCAAUAUGCUUGGACGUAAACACAAGGGAGUUGAAUGUAUAAGAUGAAUCAAGAUAACGAUGAUUCUGGAUUGGCUGAAGUUAUGUAGGUCCCCUCAUAAUCAAAUAUGAAAGCAUAAGGUUUUGAAUUGUCAUUAUGAAUGACUUCACUUUCAUCAAUAUUUAAUCCAUCAAUGUGUUUACAAUGAGCAAUUAUUGAUGAGGUUGAGCAUGAUAUUGUAAAUUAUCAAAACUGAGACUGUGUUAUCUGCCAUAGCCAUGGCUUCAUGCAUGCAUCAUCAUCAUCAUCAUCUUUGAGGGUCUUCAAGUUCCAAAGUAUUCACCGACUUGUCAAGACUGUUUUAAAGUGCACAGCAUUAGCAUAUGACAUGGAAAAACCUUCAUAACUUCGAGAAGCCGCACUCAAACUAUGUAAUUUUUUCGGGUUAUUCAACAUCUUACCCCAUGUAGAAUCAAUACUGAGAAUAUUGUCAGAAGGGUGAUAGGCACUUUAAAGACUGUACUAACUUUUUUGUCUUUCCACUUGUUUGUUUCUUUUUUAUUUCAUUUCUGAGGUUAAGAUAUUUAACAAUUACUCACUGAAGGCAAAGUGACUAUCAGUGGAGUAUUUACUGAGCCCCGAGUCUUCAAGAGGCGAGCAAUGUCAGAUUUCUUAAAAUUUUGCAUGAUGAAAUAUCAUAGAAGUAAAUGAAGCAGAUAAAAAAUGGGGGUUACCGAUUUCAUUAAGCCAUAUUUUACUGGAAAAUUAAUUGGUUGUAACCCAUCUUUCUGAUAACUUUAUAAAAUGACCCAAUAAUUGCUUUAGCAUUUAAACCUUAUGUUGGAAAUUAGAAAUAUAAAAUGGUACUGGGCUAUGUAUAUACAGAGAGAAAAAAAAAUACAGAGUUUUUAUGGAAGAAAAUUGUAAGUUCCUGGGGUAGGGGUGUUCUUUUACAAAUUCACUUCCUGGUGGUUAUGUACAUUUUCUGGCUCUACAAAUUGUAAAUACCAGGUAUAAAAAUAAUGUAAAGUUUAUUACAUUUGUCUACUUUUGAACUUUGACAUUCCUUGGUAUUUUAUUCUUCCUAUUAUUUCUUAAUUGGUUGAUUGUUAGGAUGGGCAUGGGGAUUUUACGGAGUUGGAAAUUGUUGCAAUGUACCUUUGAAGGUUACCCUGUGUCCUAUAUUGUGCAGCACCAGCCUGCGGGUAAAAUCUCAAAUAUUAAAUAAGUAAACUGAAAACUUAUUGCU